Molecule: ribosomal RNA, 353 nt
Filed under: uncultured bacterium
Lineage: Bacteria
Description: bacterial SSU rRNA
Rfam family: Bacterial small subunit ribosomal RNA
Source: RNAcentral
GAGUUUGUAUCCUGGCUCAGGAUGAACGCUAGCUACAGGCUUAACACAUGCAAGUCGAGGGGAAACGGACAUCGAAAGCUUGCUUUUGAUGGGCGUCGACCGGCGCACGGGUGAGUAACGCGUAUCCAACCUGCCCACCACUUGGGGAUAACCUUGCGAAAGUAAGACUAAUACCCAAUGACGUCUCUAGAAGACAUCUGAAAGAGAUUAAAGAUUUAUCGGUGAUGGAUGGGGAUGCGUCUGAUUAGCUUGUUGGCGGGGUAACGGCCACCAAGGCGACGAUCAGUAGGGGUUCUGAGAGGAACGGUCCCCACAUUGGAACUGAGACACGGUCCAAACUCCGUACGGGAGCA